Molecule: long non-coding RNA, 4469 nt
Filed under: Helianthus annuus (common sunflower)
Lineage: Eukaryota; Viridiplantae; Streptophyta; Magnoliopsida; Asterales; Asteraceae
Description: hypothetical non coding rna
Source: RNAcentral
GAAGUGUGUCUGGUCGAUCUAAACAUCAGGAGCGAAUAGGAGCUUCCCCACCAAACCCUAACUUGUGCAAAUUGAUCAAAUUGGGGCUUCAAAUCAGUUCCAAAUCGAUUUCCAAGCACGAAAUUGUCAUCUCCAUUGAAAGGGGAGUCAUAAGUUUGAUCUCGUCAAGCUAAGUGGGAGCUGGAAAGGAAUGGAUCAAACGGGUCAAGUGCGCAAGGAAAGCUCGAACGGACGCAAACUGUACAUUUUGGAUGCCGGAAGACGAUCAAGCUCAACGAAGAACCGAACACGAAUAAGAUAAAAGCUUCCGCACGUCGUUUCGUCGUAACUUUUAAACGACGAACUCAAUUAUGUUAUGUUGUAUUAUUUUAAAAUUGUAAAGUUUAAACAAACCCGUAUUUUUACAAAGUAUAUGUAGUCAUAAUUACAUGUUGUUUGUCGUAUACUUUACGAAAACCAUUAAAUAAUGAAAAGGGUGUUACAAGUUGGUAAUCAGAGCUCAUGGUUAAAGAGUAAAGUGUGUUCGGUUCGAGGCUUGAUCGCAAAUCCGGUAAGUACAUGUAUAUUAAUGGUUUGGUAUGUGUUGAAAUGUUGUGAACAACACAUAGGGUUAUCGUGUGAUACACGUUACCUCAAUUAAAUGACAAAUAUAGUUGAGAAAAUUGCGCGCAUUGACGCGUAUAGUAGAAAAGCCUUGUAUUAUAAUACGGGCGAUUAUUGAAGUUGAUAUUACUAAUUCUUGUAAAUGUCUUAAUUGAAGGACACUCGCAUCUGAAGAUAACGAGAGUUUAACAAAUUGCGGAUAUGAUGAUGGAACGGUCCGAGAUGUGACAAGAAGAGCAUACUCAUCAAGGACCUAAAUCGCGUAACGAUCGCAAAUAAGUAAUGGCAACGAAUGCCCGUCGGGGCAAGCAUUACCAGGUGCACAUUUUAAACUUAUAGUACAAACAGUAAUAUGCAACAAAUAUAUAGUGAAUGACAGUUGCAUAUAGAAUAUGAAACUUGGAAAACCUGGAUAGGUUACCUAUCCAGGAUGACGUUUCCAAGAGAAAUUCAGUAGAGAAUAUGUAUUAUUCACAAAUUGUGAAUAACAAGACAAAUACAGAAUUCAAUUUAUAUAGAAACUUGGACGAGAGUGAUCAUCCAAGUAAGUAUUCUCAAUAUAAAUCCUAUUGAGAAAAGUAAUGAUCACAUCAACAAAUGUGAAUAAAUGUUUAUAAAAAGGGACAUUUUACAUGUUCAAGGAUAAACGACUAAAACUAAUAAUUGUUAACUAACAAUUAAAUAAAGUUUUACCAAAUGAAAUCAUAAAUAUGGAAAUAAUUUGAGGAGUUACUUACAUGGGACGUGAUGUGGUAAUUAUAAUAAGGUCACGCGUACCAUGUGUUGAUCCCUUACUUUGGCCAAGUAAGUAGUGAACACAUGAUAGCAUGAGCUUCUUAUAAUGAGCGCAGUUAUGUCCGAUGUAGUAAGGUCAAGAUGAAUGAAAAUUUAAAGGAUCCUUAGGGUCAAGAAAUCUUAUGGGCAUACUCGUAUAAAUGGUUUUCGCGGGAACCAUAAAAACAACGUAUGGCGCACAUAGAAAUAAAUGACCCAAGGAAAUUCGUGACAUAAGUCAUUUCGGACGAAACAACCAUGGUAGACAAAAAGGGCAUUGUAAUACCAAAGUAUAAAUGACCCGCGGGGUCAUAGAAACAAAGGUAUUGCCCACAUGGGAAAAACGAUCAAAGUCGUUGACUUUGGUCGUAGUAAAGAAAUGAUGAUGAUGAUGAUGAUAAUCAUCAUUCAUAGUUUAUAAGACUGUCAAGGAUGGUCGAAUAAAGAAUAAAGGUUUGGUUGAAUAAAAGCGAUGGAUUUCGCUAAGACAACCAAACAAAUUAAAACGAAAUCUUAAUGUAUACCGGAAUGCUUGCACUAAUAAUGACUUCGGUAAAGUACCCGGUUGAUGGGUAAGGAUUUAAACACAUGCGUAAACCGAGAAACGGGAACACGAAUUUAAAGUCAAAAGACUCGGAUUAUGAGUUAUGACUGAAAGACCAUAAAAUUUCGCAAACAAAAAUUUUGAUAAUUAUAUUCAACUAUUUUGAGGUUGAACGGGUUGAAUAAAGUAUAAUGCUUGAUGGCAUAGUAAGCGCAAGCCGGAUAACGGUAAGCUUGAGACAAACCGAUGCUUAAUUGACGUGAGAAGUCAUAGAGUCGGAAGAAUUAUCCGAAAGAAAACGAUUGUAGACACGAACUACAGUCAAAGUUAACGGAUUUCAAGCAUGAAAACAAAUGAUUUUCAAAAAAAAAAAAAAAAAGAGAGUGCUUUGACACCAAAUAUAUAUUUUAAUAAAGACACGAGUAAAAAGAAUGAUCUACGGGAUCAUCAUAACCUUCAGGUUAUAAACAGUGUAAAGGUCUACGGGACCAAAAUGACCUACGGGUCAUGAAUAAAAAGGAAAAAGGAUCAUAAAGGACUCGCCUUAAAGAGGUGAGAGCCUAAAGAAAUAGCCUACGAGGCUAAGUGAAUGAACCUAUGGGUUAUCUAGACAUAGCGAGGGAACUGGUUGAGAAUCCCCGUGUAAAAUAAGAAUGAAAAAGAAUAAAUUCUUAAUUGUCAAUUUCUUGAUAUGAGUAAUUGACGAAAGUUAAAGAGAAGACGUUAAAUUAAACUUCAAGUUUUAGUGAGAAACAACGUUUUAACAAAUAUGAAUACUACAAGACGAUUUUGGAAAUAAAAAAAUAUAUCAAAGAGUAUGGGUCUUAACAUCGAUAGGUGCAAGACGAUAUAUUCGAAAAAAGUGGUAUUUUCGAAAAUAAAAGGUUGAUAUAAAUUAAACAUGACGUGACACGAUCACUGUCAAGAAAUGCAAUGUGAAGUGGAAUCACAUUAUCACCAGGCGAGCGGUAAAAAGCAACUGGACUAAUAAGUCUAGUUAGUGAGAUCGGUUAAGGUAAUUUAAGUAAGUUGGUUGCUUGUAAGCGGUGGAUUCGGUAUAACUGAACCGAAUAAAUGAAUUGGAAAACAAAAGAAAUAGUUGCUAAAAGAGAAAGAUUUCACUAAAGACCUUUAAACGGGUCAAGGUAACGGAUUCACAAAGAGUUCGAUAAUAUAUGAAAGCGAUGGAUAUCGCUAAGUUAACUAAACUAGUGGAAAUAACAAGAUUACGUUAUUUCGAAGUUACACUAUGUCGUAUGAGAUAUGUAGACAAUUAGUAACCAAAAAGAUGUUACCGUACUUUUCGGGUAGUACUAACGAUUGGUUAAAAAAGUAUAAGUAAUGUUUAAAAGAUUACUCAGGUCAAACGCAUUGAGUUUAGAACUCGAUGAACUAUGUAAGAAAGGUUUCGAGGACGAAACCUCUUUAAGGGGGUAGACUUGUAACACCCCGAAAACGGGUUUGGUAAUCAAACCCGGUUAAUACUAAGAGACGGGUUAUAACUCCCGGAAUCCAAUAAGUUAACUAGGAAUAAUAAUAACCUAGUUAGAAGAGAAGUCUUGUAGUGACAUACUAGUGGGUUAAAAACCUUAUAACUAGGAAAAUAUAAAACUUUAUAUUAAAAUUAUAAAGUUUUAAAUAAACAAGGACAAACUAACUAGGACAAAUUAACCCAGUUAGUCUUGAGACUUGUAAAUUACUUACUAGAAGGUUAAAACACCUUAAAUAAAUAACUUAAUGAUAAUGGAGGGACUAAAGGUGUUAAAACUAAAACUAAUAAUAAUAAAAACAAGGUUUAAACACCAAACACACUAAAAGAAGUGUGUCUGGUCGAUCUAAACAUCAGGAGCGAACAGGAGCUUCCCCACCAAACCCUAACUUGUGCAAAUUGAUCAAAUUGGGGCUUCAAAUCAGUUCCAAAUCGAUUUCCAAGCACGAAAUUGUCAUCUCCAUUGAAAGGGGAGUCAUAAGUUUGAUCUCGUCAAGCUAAGUGGGAGCUGGAAAGGAAUGGAUCAAACGGGUCAAGUGUGCAAGGAAAGCUCGAACGGACGCAAACUGUACAUUUUGGAUGCCGGAAGACGAUCAAGCUCAACGAAGAACCGAACACGAAUAAGAUAAAAGCUUCCGCACGUCGUUUCGUCGUAACUUUUAAACGACGAACUCAAUUAUGUUAUGUUGUAUUAUUUUAAAAUUGUAAAGUUUAAACAAACCCGUAUUUUUACAAAGUAUAUGUAGUCAUAAUUACAUGUUGUUUGUCGUAUACUUUACGAAAACCAUUAAAUAAUGAAAAGGGUGUUACAUAAAACAAUUUUUUUCUAAACUUAUAAGUCAUGAAUCCUAAAUCAAUAAAACCUAUGUACUCGCCGGCAUUUUUAUGCUGACGUACCUAUUUUCACAUGUGUUUCAGGAGAUGAUGCAUAGGAUUGAUCAAGAUACACAUAGGCGAACUUGGACCUUAGUGACAAUAAAAGAUGCAAGACUAGUUAAUUUUGUUAUACUUCUUUGUUUGUUGAGACAUUGUAACUCUUUUUAUCAAUAAAACAACAUU